GACGGAGGAUGCAAGUGUUAUCCGGAAUCACUGGGCGUAAAGCGUCUGUAGGUGGUUUAAUAAGUCAACUGUUAAAUCUUGAGGCUCAACCUCAAAAUCGCAGUCGAAACUAUUAGGCUAGAGUAUAGUAGGGGUAAAGGGAAUUUCCAGUUGGAGCGGUGAAAUGCGUAGAGAUUGGAAAGAACACCGAUGGCGAAGGCACUUUACUGGGCUAUUACUAACACUCAGAGACGAAAGCUAGGGUAGCAAAUGGG
Molecule: ribosomal RNA, 254 nt
Filed under: uncultured bacterium
Lineage: Bacteria
Description: partial 16S ribosomal RNA
Rfam family: Bacterial small subunit ribosomal RNA
Source: RNAcentral